This 251-nucleotide ribosomal RNA is filed under the name uncultured prokaryote. Its description in RNAcentral is "partial 16S ribosomal RNA". It matches the Rfam family "Bacterial small subunit ribosomal RNA", at positions 524 to 774 of the family's 1533-position model. The record is from RNAcentral.
UACGGAGGAUGCGAGCGUUAUCCGGAUUUAUUGGGUUUAAAGGGUGCGUAGGCGGCUUAGUAAGUCAGCGGUGAAAUUUUGCAGCUUAACUGUAACAGUGCCGUUGAUACUGCAUGGCUAGGAUUUGGUUGCUGUGGGUGGAAUGUGUGGUGUAGCGGUGAAAUGCUUAGAUAUCACACAGAAUAUCAAUUGCGAAGGCAGCUCACAAAGCCAAGAUUGACGCUGAGGCACGAAAGUGUGGGGAUCAAACA